This 440-nucleotide ribosomal RNA is filed under the name uncultured archaeon. RNAcentral describes it as "bacterial SSU rRNA". It matches the Rfam family "Archaeal small subunit ribosomal RNA", at positions 19 to 458 of the family's 1478-position model. The record is from RNAcentral.
GGAGGUUACUGCUAUCGGUGUUCGCCUAACCCAUGCGAGUCAUAUGUUCUUCGUGAACAUGGCGUACUGCUCAGUAACACGUGAAUAACCUGCCCUUGGGACCGGCAUAACCCCGGGAAACUGGGGAUAAUUCCGGAUACCGCAUAUAUGCUGGAAUGCUUUAUGCGUGAAAUGGAUUCGUCUGCCCAAGGAUGGGUCUGCGGCCUAUCAGGUAGUAGUGGGAGUAAUGUACCUACUACCCUACAACGGGUACGGGUUGUGAAAGCAAAAGCCCGGAAAUGGAUUCUGAAACAUGAAUCCAGGCCCUACGGGGCGCACCAGGCGCAAAAACUUUACAAUGCGGGAAACCGUGAUAAGGGGACACCGAGUGCCACCAACAUUUGUUGGCUGUCCAGGUGUGUAAACUACACCUGUUAGCAAGGGCCGGGCAAGACCGGUGC